GCAAUAUUUGUUAAAGAAAUGUGUGUAAAAACACGACUUUAAAUUAAAUAUUGUGGUGCUGCAUGUCCUGGCCUACAAAUCAUACUCUACAGACUUAAGAAAACAUCUUUGUUUGAUAAAAAUCCCCUCAAAAAUCAUACCAUAAUCAUUUGAUCUAUUUUAUAUUGUUUUU
Molecule: long non-coding RNA, 172 nt
Organism: Sebastes umbrosus (honeycomb rockfish)
Lineage: Eukaryota; Metazoa; Chordata; Actinopteri; Perciformes; Sebastidae
Exons: 3
Source: RefSeq, a predicted model, not a curated record